CCUACGGGAGGCAGCAGUGAGGAAUAUUGGUCAAUGGACGCAAGUCUGAACCAGCCAUGCCGCGUGCAGGAAGACGGCUCUAUGAGUUGUAAACUGCUUUUGUACGAGGGUAAACGCAGAUACGCGUAUCUGUCUGAAAGUAGCGUACGAAUAAGGAUCGGCUAACUCCGUGCCAGCAGCCGCGGUAAGACGGAGGCUUCAAGCGUUAUCCGGAUUUAUUGGGGUUAAAGGGUGCGUAGGCGGUCGGAGCAGUGAGAGGUGAAAUCCCGAGGCUCAACUUCGGAAUUGCCUCUGAUACGGGUCGGCUAGAUCGUAGUUGCGGUAGGCGGACUGUCUGGUGUAGCGG
RNAcentral lists this ribosomal RNA (346 nucleotides) under uncultured bacterium. RNAcentral's name for it is "partial 16S ribosomal RNA". It matches the Rfam family "Bacterial small subunit ribosomal RNA", at positions 338 to 681 of the family's 1533-position model. The record is from RNAcentral.